CACAGCGCCCCGGGGCUCGGAAUGGGGGCGGAGCCAGAACAGGGAGCGUGACCUGAUUGGAGGCGGUCACAGAAAGGGGGCGGGGACAACGGUGUGGGAGCGCGACUGAACUCGGGGGCGGUUAGCGCUGUGAAGCGAGCGGGGGUUAACUACGAGGUGGGCGGGACACGGCGAAGGGGCCGCGCAGAGCAGCGGUGGUGCUGACGGUUCGCAGCAGCACGACGAGCUGCCCGCUCUGCCGCCGGAUUCCUUCUCCAACAAAAGAGUCCACGUGGUGUUACCCGGCAGAGCAGCCCAUUGCUGCCAUCCAACUGCUCGGCCCUGCCUGCUGCUUAACGUCUUUUCGGUUAUUUGACUUUCAGAUGACAAUUUCCUGCUCUCCAGCGGCCUCCUCCCGAGCCCCUCCUCCUCCCCAUUCAAACAGACCUCCGUCUCACAGCGGUUCUGAACGCUCCCAAUUGUUUCCCUGUUCUCUAAUCGCCGCUUACUUUCUGACAGAUUCUGCAUUCGUACCCGCAAUUUAUUUACCCGAGCUUUACAAAAUAAACAACCGGGCACACA
Meleagris gallopavo (turkey) is the source of this 561-nucleotide non-coding RNA. Lineage: Eukaryota; Metazoa; Chordata; Aves; Galliformes; Phasianidae. The record is from RefSeq and is a predicted model, not a curated record.